GCUCUUAUGGUGUAAUGGUUAGCACUCUGGACUUUGAAUCCAGCGAUCCGGGUUCAAAUCCCGGCAGGAGCU
Phytophthora infestans T30-4 is the source of this 72-nucleotide transfer RNA. It matches the Rfam family "tRNA". From Rfam's summary of the family: Transfer RNA (tRNA) molecules are approximately 80 nucleotides in length. Their secondary structure includes four short double-helical elements and three loops (D, anti-codon, and T loops). The record is from Rfam. Lineage: Eukaryota; Oomycota; Peronosporomycetes; Peronosporales; Peronosporaceae.